GAUGAACGCUAGCGGCGUGCUUAACACAUGCAAGUCGAACGGAAAGGCCCAAGCUUGCUUGGGUACUCGAGUGGCGAACGGGUGAGUAACACGUGGGUGAUCUGCCCUGCACUUCGGGAUAAGCCUGGGAAACUGGGUCUAAUACCGGAUAGGACGAUGGUUUGGAUGCCAUUGUGGAAAGUUUUUUCGGUGUGGGAUGAGCUCGCGGCCUAUCAGCUUGUUGGUGGGGUAAUGGCCUACCAAGGCGUCGACGGGUAGCCGGCCUGAGAGGGUGUACGGCCACAUUGGGACUGAGAUACGGCCCAGACUCCUACGGGAGGCAGCAGUGGGGAAUAUUGCACAAUGGGCGCAAGCCUGAUGCAGCGACGCCGCGUGGGGGAUGACGGCCUUCGGGUUGUAAACUCCUUUCGCUAGGGACGAAGCGUUUUUGUGACGGUACCUGGAGAAGAAGCACCGGCUAACUACGUG
This 468-nucleotide ribosomal RNA is filed under the name uncultured bacterium. Its description in RNAcentral is "partial 16S ribosomal RNA". It matches the Rfam family "Bacterial small subunit ribosomal RNA", at positions 28 to 507 of the family's 1533-position model. The record is from RNAcentral.